RNAcentral lists this ribosomal RNA (491 nucleotides) under uncultured bacterium. RNAcentral describes it as "partial 16S ribosomal RNA". It matches the Rfam family "Bacterial small subunit ribosomal RNA", at positions 29 to 507 of the family's 1533-position model. The record is from RNAcentral.
GUGCACGCUGGCGGUAGGCCUAACACAUGCAAGUCGCACGGCAGCACAGUAAGAGCUUGCUCUUACGGGUGGCGAGUGGCGGACGGGUGAGGAAUACAUCGGAAUCUACUUUUUCGUGGGGGCUAACGUAGGGAAACUUACGCUAAUACCGCAUACGACCUACGGGUGAAAGCAGGGGAUCUUCGGACCUUGCGCGAUUGAAUGAGCCGAUGUCGGAUUAGCUUGUUGGCGGGGUAAAGGCCCACCAAGGCGACGAUCCGUUGCUGGUCGCAGAGGAUGAUCAGCCACACUGGAACUGAGACACGGUCCAGACUCCUACGGGAGGCAGCAGUGGGGAAUAUUGGACAAUGGGCGCAAGCCUGAUCCAGUCAUACCGCGUGGGUGAAGAAGGCCUUCGGGUUGUAAAGCCCUUUUGUUGGGAAAGAAAAGCAGCAGGUUAAUACCCAGCUGUUCUGACGGUAACCAAAGAAUAAGCACCGGCUAACUUCGUG